CCCGCACAAGCAGUGGAGUAUGUGGUUUAAUUCGAAGCAACGCGAAGAACCUUACCAGGGCUUGACAUCCCUUGAACGCCGUAGAGAUACGGAAUCCCUUCGGGGCAAGGAGACAGGUGGUGCAUGGUUGUCGUCAGCUCGUGUCGUGAGAUGUUGGGUUAAGUCCCGCAACGAGCGCAACCCCUGUUGUUAGUUGCCAGCAUUAAGUUGGGCACUCUAGCAAGACUGCCGGUGACAAAUCGGAGGAAGGUGGGGACGACGUCAAAUCAUCAUGCCCCUUAUGUCCUGGGCUACACACGUACUACAAUGGCCAUUACAGCAGGAUGCGAAGGAGCAAUCCGGAGCGAAUCCUCAAAAAUGGCCCCAGUUCAGAUUGUGGGCUGAAACUCGCCCACAUGAAGUCGGAAUUGCUAGUAAUGGCAGGUCAGCAUACUGCCGUGAAUACGUUCCCGGGCCUUGUACACACCGCCCGUCACACCAUGAGAGUCUGCAACACCCGAAGUCAGUAGUCCAACCGGUAACGGAGGG
RNAcentral lists this ribosomal RNA (528 nucleotides) under uncultured soil bacterium. RNAcentral's name for it is "bacterial SSU rRNA". It matches the Rfam family "Bacterial small subunit ribosomal RNA", at positions 920 to 1450 of the family's 1533-position model. The record is from RNAcentral.